UACGGAGGGUGCGAGCGUUACUCGGAAUCACUGGGCGUAAAGGGCGCGUAGGCGGCCGCGUGUGUCUGGCGUAAAAUACCACGGCUCAACCGUGGGAAUGCGCUGGAAACUACGUGGCUUGGGUGCGGCAGAGGCAGACGGAACUGCUGGUGUAGGGGUGAAAUCCGUAGAUAUCAGCAGGAACGCCGGUGGAGAAGUCGGUCUGCUGGGCCGUAACCGACGCUGAGGCACGAAAGCUAGGGGAGCGAACCGG
This 253-nucleotide ribosomal RNA is filed under the name uncultured microorganism. Its description in RNAcentral is "partial 16S ribosomal RNA". It matches the Rfam family "Bacterial small subunit ribosomal RNA", at positions 524 to 776 of the family's 1533-position model. The record is from RNAcentral.